This 414-nucleotide ribosomal RNA is filed under the name uncultured microorganism. RNAcentral describes it as "bacterial SSU rRNA". It matches the Rfam family "Archaeal small subunit ribosomal RNA", at positions 459 to 872 of the family's 1478-position model. The record is from RNAcentral.
CAGCCGCCGCGGUAAUACCGGCGGCCCGAGUGGCGGCCACUAUUAUUGGGCCUAAAGCGUCCGUAGCCGGGCUGGUAAGUCCUCCGGGAAAUCUGGUCGCUUAACGAUCAGACUUCCGGAGGAUACUGCUGGCCUAGGGACCGGGAGAGGCCGAGGGUAUUCCCGGGGUAGGGGUGAAAUCCUGUAAUCCCGGGAGGACCACCUGUGGCGAAGGCGCUCGGCUGGAACGGGUCCGACGGUGAGGGACGAAGGCCAGGGUAGCGAACCGGAUUAGAUACCCGGGUAGUCCUGGCUGUAAACGAUGCGGACUAGGUGUCGGGCAAGCUAAGGGCUUGUCCGGUGCCGCAGGGAAGCCGUUAAGUCCGCCGCCUGGGGAGUACGGCCGCAAGGCUGAAACUUAAAGGAAUUGGCGGG